CUAUGUUUUUCAUUUCAAAAUCUUUCUAGGCCAGCCUUCAACUAUCUACCUCAUUCUUUUUGAUGGCUGCAAAGUACCCUACUGAAUAGACAGAGGUACCAUAAUUUACUUAUCUAGUCUUGUCUUAGACGUUUUGAUUGACAUGAACACCCUUGUACAGGUAUUUUGGGAAACAUCUGUGUACAUAUCCCUGGAGAAAAUUUCUAGCAAUAGGAUUACCAAGUCAGAGGGCAUACAUGUUUAAAGUAGAUAUGUGGUGCCUAAUUGCCCUCCAGGAUCUGAGCCAACUGGCAUUCUUCAGAAAGGCUGCAUGAACUCAUACUUUAAUCCACAAUGGAUAACAGGGCCCAUUCUGUGUACCCUUUGCUUCUGGCUAUCUCUAUCUCUACCAAUGUAUACUUAUGCAGACAUAAGAGAUGAUAAUCUGUAACAGGAAACAUACUGAGUCACUGACAUUUACCCUGUUAUAGACUAGCCAUUUGGGAAACAAACAAAAAAAACAAACCAGGGGUGCCCAGGAAGCUCAACUGGCUAAGCCUCAGAUUCUUGGUUUUGGCUGAGGCCAUGAGCUCAGAGUCCUGGAUUGAGCCGCGUGCUGGGCUCCGUGCACAGUGUGGAGUGUGCCUGAGAUUCUCUCCCCCUGCCACUCCCCCAUGCUCCUACACUUGCUCUCUAAAAUAAAUAAAAUCUUUUAAAAAUUUAAAAAAAAAAAAUCACCAUUAAUUCAUGAGGAAGCCAGAACAUGUAGGUAUUAACUAUCUUGUACAAGGUCACAUAGCUAGUGGGCAUGGGAAAUUAAAACCCAACUUCACCACUGCCUUAUCUUCAGUUUCAUAGGUAUUUUGCUCUUAAAAACAAACAAACAAAAAAUUGAUAUAGUAAUCCUUUUAUUUAACGGCCUUCCGUUAAAAAUAAUGACCUUGCAAUCAGACCAAAUUCUUUGAGCACACUGACACUUAAUGAAGAAGUACAAAUUACCAAUCUUAGUUAGGUGUUGCCCUAAAGUAUCUAAUACAGUAUACUAUUUGUUUCCAAGAGCAUGUGGUAAAGAACUAUAAUAACCCCAAUCAGAACCACUUUAACCAAAUACUUGAAUUUAAGGGGGUAAGAAAAGGAACUAAAACUUCCACAUGUAAGCAGAAUAAAUGCACAAGAAAGUAAACUGCAUUUCCAUGGAAAAUGUUUAUCAAAUACAAUUCAAAUGAAAUUCAGCCUUUAUCACUUUGAUAAAUUUCAAACUCCUGUCCUUAAGGAUCAGUCAAUAUAAAUAUACUCAGGAUUUGCUGAAUGCACUCUACCAUCUUACCCAUUUCCAAUAUUUACAAGGGACAUUUUGAAUAGAACUAGGUGAAAAGGAGCCCCCGCUCCCUCUUCCCUGGAGGUGGCCUGCAUGACCCUCUCUUUCAAGUGCCACUGUCUCAUAUUUCAUAUACAGCAACCCAAGUUUCCCUUGCCCUACAGCCUCAAGAAAUGCUUUGUGGCUUCACCAUAUACACAAAAUGACCAUUACUUACUUUACUUACUUACUUACCCAGGGAUCCCUGACCAUUACUUUUUGAGCACAAAUUUAGAUAGGACUUGUGACAAGUAUGGGAGAACUUUGGGAACCAAGGGGACCAAAUACCCAGGAACAAUAGCAAGAAAGCAGUCCUAUCCCUAAAAAAUGGGUUCUCACUGGAACUCAGUGAACAGGCUACAGUGAACGUCUAAGCACCAUGGACUCCAAGGAUCUGAUGGUGGAAAAUCACUAGUGCAAAUGUUCCAUAAAAUCUAUCACACUGCUGGAGGUACCAGAAUACAAUACAACUACUCUAGGGAGUCUAGCUGCUUCUUUAAUCUGCACUUAGCAAGGAUUUAUGAAGCCCACCAAGCCGAAGCCAGACUCUGUGCUGGGCACAUGCCUGGCAGCCCCUUACUCAGAAAAUGCCUAUUUCCUUGAUAGAACUACCAAAGCAUCAGCGUGCCACAGGGCAAGGAGAAAAUGGCAAGGGGGGCAGAUUAGAAUGAGGACGAGAUGUGGCUUUUUGCCUAAAGGCUGCCCACUAACGCAGAUCGACAUCUACUCUCCAAUCCAUGGUGCACAACUAGUGAUGCUAAGGACUGCAUGCCACUGGGGCCUGCCCAGUUCAAAGCAGGUUCCUCAUGAUGAGAGCCAGUCGCUUCCCUAGCAAGGCUGUAUCGGGUGAGGUGGGAAGAUGUCCCUAGUCACCCCACACAGAAAGUGCUAAAAGCUCCCAUAGGUGAGGCAGGUAUGUGAGGAUAUAAACGAGUGUGAAUGCUAAAAACUAACUGGUCCAUCAAGCAGAACUCUGCAAAGGCAUCUAGUUGUCUCCUUCUUCAUCCCAUGCCCCUAUAAAGCAUAAUGUAAGAGAGUCAGAAGAAUUAUAAAUAAUAGCCUGGCCCUGUUAAUCAUUUAACUGCUUGACUCUGCUAAGCAAGCCUAGGGUAGACCUCUAAAAUUCAGAUACUCUGAAACCACCACCAUGUUCUGACAGAAAUGUUCCAUGUGUUUGCUAAAUAGAAACUGUCUAAACUCAUUCAAUCGAGUCAACCCUUACACACUCCUACAUUUGUAUAAAAACUGAACAUACUCACCAGAUAAAAGCAUAUCUGUUAAAGAAUUUGUCUUCUCUUUGCCAUGCUAUUGUUUUAUAUCCUAUACCCUAAAGAUACUGCCUGGAUCCCACUAAAUGCUACUGUAGAAUCCUUUUUGUUCUCCAAUUUGAAGACUGUUGCAGGAGGACAUUUGAUUCUAUUACAUUUUAUUUUGCUGUAAGAAGGACUGAAAAUCCCUUGAGACCAAACUUGAGCUAUACCCAACCCAAUCAUAAGAAGUGUAGGAAUGUAGUCUCUUCUCUCCAGAGGGGGCUUUACGUUUAGAUUUCAGAUUUUGUUGUUUGCUUAAAAGUGUGCUGUGAAGGUGGAAUGUUGUUCUCUAAACCUAUGAAAAAGAGUAACUCAGUACUUCAUUGGGAAAAACAACAGAAGGCCAAGAUUUCCCAAAAAAGCCAUUGCUGCAUUUUUGGCACCUGCAAAGAUGUGCUUGCAAAUGGGUUUUUUGUUUUAAAGUACCAGCACCUGCAAUUUGGCAGUCCUGCAGGAGCGUGGUUCAUCCCCUCUCUCUGCAGUUUAUGGAUUGCCUGCUCCCCACUCUCAUGUACAGCCACAGCUACCAAGCUCAGGGAGAACAGGCAGAGACAGGAGGACACUGGCAUGCGGAGCACACUAUCAUCCUAUAUACAGCCUGUGUUACCUGGGGUGACAGGCAAAUUUGAGUCCUCCAAGUACCCAGCCACUGACUGCCCACAGCCACCAGCCACAGGAAGCCUGGCACCUCCAGAAAACGAGCAGUGCAGCUAAGGGCAGCAGAGGCCCUGUUAAAUGAAGAAUGCAUUUCUACUUGCUCAACUUGAAGGGGAUGGAUUGAAAUUUAUCUCUGUGUGAUAAACAGUGAAUUGCAGUUGACAGACAUUUUCUAUAUGAAUGCAAUUUACUAUGUCAUUACCAGUUUAUGUUUAUAUAAUGAAAUCAACUGUUUUUGUGAGGUGAAUUACCCAGAUUUAUUUUUUGCAAGUUCAUAAUUAAAUGGCACUUAAAUAUU
Canis lupus familiaris (dog) is the source of this 3601-nucleotide long non-coding RNA. RefSeq lists it as uncharacterized. The record is from RefSeq and is a predicted model, not a curated record. Lineage: Eukaryota; Metazoa; Chordata; Mammalia; Carnivora; Canidae. The transcript has 2 exons.